UCCGGUUUGACACCGGCAGUCCCGCUAGAGUGCAGCCGCCGAAGCGACAUAGCAACUAGAGGCAGGGGUUUCGCUCGUUAGAGGACUUAACCCGACACUUCACAGCACGAGCUGACGACAGCCAUGCAGCACCUGUGCACGUUCCACCUUGCGGUGUCAUCCCCCUUUCAGAGGACUAAUCCGUGCAUGUCAAGCCCUGGAUAAGGUUCUUCGCGUUGCUUCGAAUUAAGCCACAUGCUCCACCGCUUGUGUGAGCCCCCGUCAAUUCCUUUGAGUUUUAGCCUUGCGACCGUACUCCCCAGGCGGUGCACUAAGUGUUUUUACUUCGACCCUGUCGGCGUCAGAGCCUCCAAGGUCUAGUGCACAUCGUUUACGGCGUGGACUAC
This 386-nucleotide unclassified non-coding RNA is filed under the name uncultured Phycisphaeraceae bacterium. RNAcentral's name for it is "contains 16S-23S intergenic spacer region". Lineage: Bacteria; Pseudomonadati; Planctomycetota; Phycisphaerae; Phycisphaerales; Phycisphaeraceae. The record is from RNAcentral.